UCUCGUCCAGAUCAAUAGCCGCGCACGC
Molecule: small RNA, 28 nt
Filed under: Bombyx mori (domestic silkworm)
Lineage: Eukaryota; Metazoa; Arthropoda; Insecta; Lepidoptera; Bombycidae
Description: ovarian small RNA-29789
Source: RNAcentral